CGCGUAGGCGGCUUGGCAAGUCAGAUGUGAAAGCCCCGGGCUUAACUCGGGAACUGCAUCUGAAACUGCCUUGCUUGAGUCCUGGAGGGGGUAGUGGAAUUCCCAGUGUAGCGGUGAAAUGCGUAGAUAUUGGGAGGAACACCUGCGGCGAAGGCGGCUACCUGGACAGUGACUGACGCUGAUGCGCGAAAGCUAGGGGAGCAAACGGGAUUAGAUACCCCGGUAGUCCUAGCCGUAAACGAUGGGCACUUGGUGUCGGGGGUAUUGACGUCCCCCGGUGCCGGAGUUAACACGUUAAGUCGCCCCGCCUGGGGAGUACGGUCGCAAGACUGAA
This 334-nucleotide ribosomal RNA is filed under the name uncultured bacterium. RNAcentral's name for it is "bacterial SSU rRNA". It matches the Rfam family "Bacterial small subunit ribosomal RNA", at positions 568 to 898 of the family's 1533-position model. The record is from RNAcentral.